This 393-nucleotide ribosomal RNA is filed under the name uncultured bacterium. Its description in RNAcentral is "bacterial SSU rRNA". It matches the Rfam family "Bacterial small subunit ribosomal RNA", at positions 335 to 719 of the family's 1533-position model. The record is from RNAcentral.
ACUCCUACGGGAGGCAGCAGUGGGGAAUAUUGCACAAUGGGGGAAACCCUGAUGCAGCCAUGCCGCGUGUGUGAAGAAGGCCUUGGGUUGUAAAGCACUUUCAGUAGGGAGGAAGGUAGUGUAGUUAACACCUGCAUUAUUUGUACGUUACCUACAGAAGAAGCACCGGCUAACUCCGUGCCAGCAGCCGCGGUAAUACGGAGGGUGCGAGCGUUAAUCGGAAUUACUGGGCGUAAAGCGCAUGCAGGCGGCCUGUUAAGUCAGAUGUGAAAGCCCGGGGCGUUAACCUCGGAAUUGCAUUUGAAACUGGCAGGCUAGAGUCUUGUAGAGGGGGUUAGAAUUUCAGGUGUAGCGGUGAAAUGCGUAGAGAUCUGAAGGAAUACCAGUGGCGAA